UACGGAGGGUGCAAGCGUUAGUCGGAAUGAUUGGGCGUAAAGGGCGCGUAGGCGGGGAUGUAAGUCAAACGUGAAAUCCAGGGGCUCAACCCCUGGACUGCAUUUGAAACUGCAUUUCUUGAGGAAAGGCGGAGAAAACGGAAUUCCAUGUGUAGCGGUGAAAUGCGUAGAUAUAUGGAAGAACACCUGUGGCGAAAGCGGUUUUCUAGCUUACUCCUGACGCUGAGGCGCGAAAGCAAGGGGAGCAAACAGG
This 253-nucleotide ribosomal RNA is filed under the name uncultured bacterium. RNAcentral's name for it is "partial 16S ribosomal RNA". It matches the Rfam family "Bacterial small subunit ribosomal RNA", at positions 524 to 776 of the family's 1533-position model. The record is from RNAcentral.